UUGGUGGUAUGAUAGUCAAUGUAAGUAUGUUUGACUUCCUGCAUAUAAAAUUCAAAUACUAACAUCACAAUUCACAUAGGAAAGGAACAUAUUUUCACCAUAACUUUUAAAAAUUUGUGUCAAUUUGGAAUACAAUUAAAGUGAACAAGUGUGAAAUUUGAAUGAAAAUAACCAACAUUCCUGACCUAACCUUACCUAAAAAGUUUGUAAUACCCUUAAUACCAACCUAAAACCCCCAUGCCAGAUGUCUACAACAUACAAACCUUUCAACCAGCCUACUACAGUACCUAACACCUCACAACCUAUUCCAUUCUGAACCUAUUGAUUGGGAUUUUUGUAUACUUUUAUACUCAUUGCAUCCUAGCUUGCUAUUAUAGCAAACAUGCAGGUAUUUAAAGAAAUGUUUUGUUUUUCCUUCUUAGCUGUUGAAAUUUCUUGAAUGCCAACACAACACAACACACCAUGCGCACAUGACAGAGGUCUCCGUCACUGCGGAGGGAAGAUCGCAAUGCUGCUUGCAGGCUGUUGACAGAAAGUGAUCAGUAAGUUAUGACCCUAUGCAUAAUGCUACAAUUAUUUCUUUUGUAUACAGGGAGUUGGUCAGAGAUUGAACAUGUCUCAGCAUCAUAUAUUUGAAUGCUGAUAAUUAUGUAUACGAGCAUUGACCAAUCAAUUGAAACUAGAAAAGUAGAUAAGUGCUUAACAAAAUGGAUUGGUGAAGAUUAGAUUGCCUAUAUAAAGCAUGCAAUGUUGACUUCAUAACAUACUGCAUAAAAAUGUAGUCUGUUCCAUAUUAUGUUUGCGCCUAUGGUCAAAGCUGCUUCUUCAAUUUGCUUCUUCGUUCAAUCUAGGGAUGUAGCCAAGGGAGUGGCCACGGCUGUCAUGGUCUACCCCAAAGGCGAGAAAUUAAAUAAAAUAAAAUGAAGAUAAAUAAAAACAGCUGUACCAUACCCCCAAAAAUAGUGGGCCAAAUCCGAGUUUUCCUUUUUGGAGGGGGUACGACACUAGGCCGCGAUCUGUGGCCCCUCCCUCAGUAAAAUCUUGGCUAUGGCUCAAUAAUUUGAGUCUAUGCUUUAUGUCUAUGACUAUUCUAUACAGGAGCUAUGCAAUCCUGUUUUCUUUCUAGGUUCAUGCUGUUCUGAGGUGAAACAUUUUCCUGGCAUGGUGGCACUUUGUCAGUGUGGGGUGAGGUAGGCAUCCACUGUGAUGUGGCUGACCCUGUCGGCUCCCACUCCCCCUCUGACCCGGCCAUGCGUCCCGCCAGGUUGUCGUGUUCUGCCAGCUGCUGCGCCGGCGUUGGCAGCGCACAGCCGCUACCAGCUGACACGCCGACCGGUGCGCGGCGCGCGUGCGCCGGGCGCCGACGGCCGUCGUCUGGCAGCAACAGCGCUGCCAGUGACUCGCGCUGCUGCUGCAGAAACUGGACAAGGAUCGUAGAAUCCUGGCGUGUUUUUGUAACGUCCAAUAGAGUGAUUUAGACGCAGCGUGUAGAAAGGACUCGUUUAUUGACGUGUGACUUUCUGACAGCUCAGUCACCUGUUGACGGCGGCGCACAGCGUCACCUACCCGCCCUACAGCCGGCCCAGCAGGCGGACGGAGAGGCCCGCCCGGGCCCAGUGCCGCACGGAGAGGCGGCGGCGCUGGAGGCCAACACCCCGGCUCGCGGCCUGUAGCUGACGGUGCUGGAGCCGCGAGUCACCGUGGUGGCUGGCCAUGGAGACUUGGAAAAGGCCGGUGAGGUGCGUCUCCC
RNAcentral lists this long non-coding RNA (1750 nucleotides) under Amphibalanus amphitrite. RNAcentral describes it as "uncharacterized LOC122376340". The record is from RNAcentral. Lineage: Eukaryota; Metazoa; Arthropoda; Thecostraca; Balanomorpha; Balanidae.